UUUCUAUGGAGAGUUUGAUCCUGGCUCAGGACGAACGCUGGCGGCGUGCCUAAUACAUGCAAGUCGAGCGGACGAUUCAAAAGCUUGCUUUUGAAUCGUUAGCGGCGGACGGGUGAGUAACACGUGGGCAACCUGCCCUGUAGACGGGGAUAACACCGAGAAAUCGGUGCUAAUACCGGAUAACACGAAAUGUCGCAUGACGUUUCGUUGAAAGGCGGCGCAAGCUGCCGCUACAGGAUGGGCCCGCGG
RNAcentral lists this ribosomal RNA (249 nucleotides) under Anoxybacillus pushchinoensis. RNAcentral's name for it is "16S rRNA. Bacterial SSU". It matches the Rfam family "Bacterial small subunit ribosomal RNA", at positions 1 to 236 of the family's 1533-position model. Lineage: Bacteria; Bacillati; Bacillota; Bacilli; Caryophanales; Anoxybacillaceae. The record is from RNAcentral.